CUCCUGGGAAGUCCUCGUGUUGCACCCCUCUCUUUUUCUUCGCAUUUUUUUUCGUUGGGCUUAUCGUUUACGUCAGUCCAGCACGCUCGCUUCGUAGGCUUAGCGCGCCCCAGGCCAAAAACACGAGCCGCGGAUCUCGUUUCGGGUGCUAAAGCGUCGCGGCGACGUCGAAAUCCGCGGAAGCCCCUCGGGUUGCACCUCUCCGGCGUUAAGGUGCAUCGUUGCGUUCGGAUCCUUUUAUAAGAAUUAAACGCGCUUAUGCUGAUGGGUGCGAUCAUACCAACACUAAUGCACCGGA
Molecule: ribosomal RNA, 298 nt
Filed under: Quercus cerris (Turkey oak)
Lineage: Eukaryota; Viridiplantae; Streptophyta; Magnoliopsida; Fagales; Fagaceae
Source: RNAcentral